RNAcentral lists this ribosomal RNA (221 nucleotides) under Staphylococcus cohnii. RNAcentral's name for it is "partial 16S ribosomal RNA". It matches the Rfam family "Bacterial small subunit ribosomal RNA", at positions 907 to 1125 of the family's 1533-position model. The record is from RNAcentral. Lineage: Bacteria; Bacillati; Bacillota; Bacilli; Caryophanales; Staphylococcaceae.
GAAUUGACGGGGACCCGCACAAGCGGUGGAGCAUGUGGUUUAAUUCGAAGCAACGCGAAGAACCUUACCAAAUCUUGACAUCCUGUGACAACUCUAGAGAUAGAGCCUUCCCCUUCGGGGGACAAAGGGACAGGUGGUGCAUGGUUGUCGUCAGCUCGUGUCGUGAGAUGUUGGGUUAAGUCCCGCAACGAGCGCAACCCUUAAACUUAGUUGCCAGCAUU